RNAcentral lists this ribosomal RNA (253 nucleotides) under uncultured bacterium. RNAcentral's name for it is "partial 16S ribosomal RNA". It matches the Rfam family "Bacterial small subunit ribosomal RNA", at positions 524 to 776 of the family's 1533-position model. The record is from RNAcentral.
UACGGGGGGGGCAAGCGUUGUUCGGAAUUACUGGGCGUAAAGGGCUCGUAGGCGGCCAACUAAGUCAGACGUGAAAUCCCUCGGCUUAACCGGGGAACUGCAUCUGAUACUGGAUGGCUUGAAUUCGGGAGAGGGAUGCGGAAUUCCAGGUGUAGCGGUGAAAUGCGCAGAUAUCAGGAGGAACACCGACGGCGAAGGCAGCUUACUGGGCCGAUACUGACGCUGAGGAGCGAAAGCGUGGGGAGCGAACAGG